ACGGAAGGCAGCAGUGGGGAAUAUUGCACAAUGGGGGAAACCCUGAUGCAGCGACGCCGCGUGAGUGAAGAAGUAUUUCGGUAUGUAAAGCUCUAUCAGCAGGAAAGAAAAUGACGGUACCUGACUAAGAAGCCCCGGCUAACUACGUGCCAGCAGCCGCGGUAAUACGUAGGGGGCAAGCGUUAUCCGGAUUUACUGGGUGUAAAGGGAGCGUAGACGGCUUUGCAAGUCUGAAGUGAAAGCCCGGGGCUCAGCCCCGGAACUGCUUUGGAAACUGUUAAGCUAGAGUGCAGGAGAGGUAAGUGGAAUUCCUAGUGUAGCGGUGAAAUGCGUAGAUAUUAGGAGGAACACCAGUGGCGAAGGCGGCUUACUGGACUGUAACUGACGUUGAGGCUCGAAGGCGUGGGGAGCAAACAGGAUUAGAUACCCUGGUA
Molecule: ribosomal RNA, 434 nt
Filed under: uncultured Clostridium sp.
Lineage: Bacteria; Bacillati; Bacillota; Clostridia; Eubacteriales; Clostridiaceae
Description: partial 16S ribosomal RNA
Rfam family: Bacterial small subunit ribosomal RNA
Source: RNAcentral